Long non-coding RNA from Coregonus clupeaformis (lake whitefish), 581 nucleotides. RefSeq lists it as uncharacterized. The record is from RefSeq and is a predicted model, not a curated record. NCBI's taxonomy places the organism in Eukaryota, Metazoa, Chordata, Actinopteri, Salmoniformes, Salmonidae. The transcript is spliced from 3 exons.
GUAAAAAAAUAAAAUAACAAGAAAAACAUGGUUAGCUAGUUCGUAACUUGACAAAAACCAAUGACUGAGACAAUAAAAGUAGGAAAAUGUUUUGCAAGUUAGCUAGUUACGUGCCUAAGUUGGUUGAUUAUCAACAUCCAUCAGCUUUGUUGUUGUUGUGAGUCGCAGAACGCACGCUGGCUAUCUGCCGCUCUAACAACUUCCGGUUCAUCAACAGUUUACGAGGAAACGAGCAGCUAGCCUUGCCUCUUCAAUCAACAUUUGUAAAAUACGACUAAAAGACUGCAUAUAAGAUUUCCACGGGGCAGCAAUAUGGGUAUGCAUUCCUGUAAAGAUUGUGGCAAGAUGGCCCCCUCCCUCUCUCCUCUCUGAGACUCCUGGUGCCACCGCUGCGUCUGAUGUCAGCGGUCAUGUGGCAGGUGGUGGAGCGGCGGAGUUUGGAGCAUUAUGGGAAGCUGGAGGACUUUGUGUGUUUGAUCACAGAGGCAGUUCCAGAACUACUGACUGACAGGCAGAGAGCAGUACUGCUUCUGGGCCUCAGAGCAAAGAUGUCCCAGGAGUGGAUAGGUGAGAACGUCGCC